CCCAGCAUGGUGUAGUGGUUUGAGCAUUGGACUAGGAUUCUGGAGACCAGGGUUCAAAUCCCUGCUUGGC
RNAcentral lists this transfer RNA (70 nucleotides) under Phrynosoma platyrhinos (Desert horned lizard). RNAcentral describes it as "tRNA-OTHER". The record is from RNAcentral. Lineage: Eukaryota; Metazoa; Chordata; Lepidosauria; Squamata; Phrynosomatidae.